This 855-nucleotide long non-coding RNA is filed under the name Brassica napus (rape). RNAcentral describes it as "long non-coding RNA (BNAP_LNC027142)". Lineage: Eukaryota; Viridiplantae; Streptophyta; Magnoliopsida; Brassicales; Brassicaceae. The record is from RNAcentral.
GGCUGGAGGGCAUAUUAAAAGUUUUGGGGUUAAUCCAAGAAGACUCAUAUGCAAAUUUAGAAGUUUUGAGCGAACGUACAAACUAUUACAAUUACAAGGACCAAAGGUGCAAAUUCACGAAACUUGAACUCAAGCUUAGAGCUCUAACAAUGGCGGCUUCGAUUAACGAUUCGCUGGAGAUCGUAGAGAAGGUCUGCGAUCACGGCGACAAUGGUGAGAUUUGCAAGAAACGACGAUGGAUUUGAGCUACGGCCGUGAGGAAAUGAGUCGCGGCGGUUGAGUAGGUUGAAAACGACGACGGAGAGAUUGCAGAACAGGCCACAACGUGAUGGUGAACGGAGGUUGUUGACUGAAACGGAAAGGAGGCCGUGACGGAAGAGCUUCGUCGUGGCUGAGGAUUGGCGGUGGAAAGCUGUCAAUGGCUUGACGGAGACGACGACUUGAGGUCGUGAUGGAUUAGAUCGAAGAGAUGACGGGUCCGAAGCUUCUCAACAGUUGCUCCGCCGGAGUUCGUGCUGCAGAGGAGUACAUCAGCCGUGAGUGGAAAAAGCUUAAUAGAAUUGAUUUGGCUAGCUAUGUGUUAACUUACUUUUUCCGGAGCACAUCCCGAAAAAACUACAGACUUAAGUGUGCUUGAGCUGGAGUAGUAGAAGGAUGAGUGACCUAUCGGGAAGUGAUUUGCGAUAGUGUACGAGUGAGGUCAAAGCACAGGGAAAGGUCGGGUGGUGAUUGCAGAGUCAGUAAACAAUGAUUUCGAACCUUUGGAAAAAUUAACGGACCGACGGAUGGGAUGAGGUCCACGGGCCGAGAGAGCGGACGUGGAUGGCCCAUUAGCCGUGGGCAGUCGGAGCGUUA